Molecule: ribosomal RNA, 253 nt
Filed under: uncultured bacterium
Lineage: Bacteria
Description: partial 16S ribosomal RNA
Rfam family: Bacterial small subunit ribosomal RNA
Source: RNAcentral
UACAUGGGGUGCAAACGUUGCUCGGAAUCAUUGGGCGUAAAGCGCGCGUAGGCGGUUACUUAAGUUGGAUGUGAAAGCCCUCGGCUUAACCGAGGAAGUGCAUCCAAAACUGAGUAGCUAGAGUACGAAAGAGGGUCGCGGAAUUCCCGGUGUAGAGGUGAAAUUCGUAGAUAUCGGGAGGAACACCGGUGGCGAAGGCGGCGACCUGGGUUGAGACUGACGCUGAGGCGCGAAAGCGUGGGGAGCGAACAGG